GGAAGGAUCAUUACAGAAUCGUCAACGGGUUGUUGCUGGUCCUCAAACGGGGACAUGUGCACGCUCUGUUUACACAUCCACUCACACCUGUGCACCCUCCGUAGUUCUGUGGUCUGGGGGACCCUGUCUUCCUGCCGUGGUUCUACGUCUUUACACACACACUGUAAUAAAGUCUUAUGGAAUGUAUGCCGCGUCUAACGCAAUACAAUACAACUUUCAGCAACGGAUCUCUUGGCUCUCGCAUCGAUGAAGAACGCAGCGAAAUGCGAUAAGUAAUGUGAAUUGCAGAAUUCAGUGAAUCAUCGAAUCUUUGAACGCACCUUGCGCCCCUUGGCUAUUCCGAGGGGCAUGCCUGUUUGAGUAUCAUGAACACCUCAACUCUCAUGGUUUGCCGUGAUGAGCUUGGACUCUGGGGGUUUUGCUGGCCUGCGGUCGGCUCCCCUCAAAUGAAUCAGCCUCCCAGUGUUUGGUGGCAUCACGGGUGUGAUAAAUAUCUACGCUCGCAGUUGUCCGCCAGGUAACCUUUGGUAACAAAGGUUCGCUGGAGCUCACAGAUGUCUCUCCUCAGCGAGGACAGCUUUUUGAACGUUCGAUCUCAAAUCAGGUAGGACUACCCGCUGAACUUAAGCAUAUCAAUAAGCGGAGGAAA
Molecule: ribosomal RNA, 649 nt
Filed under: uncultured fungus
Lineage: Eukaryota; Fungi
Description: eukaryotic LSU rRNA
Rfam family: 5.8S ribosomal RNA (bases 212-366)
Source: RNAcentral